AUUGAACGCUGGCGGCAUGCUUUACACAUGCAAGUCGAACGGUAACAGCACUUCGGUGGCUGACGAGUGGCGAACGGGUGAGUAAUACAUCGGAACGUGCCUAGUAGUGGGGGAUAACUACUCGAAAGAGUAGCUAAUACCGCAUGAGAUCUAAGGAUGAGAGCAGGGGACCUUCGGGCCUUGCGCUACUAGAGCGGCUGAUGGCAGAUUAGGUAGUUGGUGGGAUAAAAGCUUACCAAGCCGACGAUCUGUAGCUGGUCUGAGAGGACGACCAGCCACACUGGGACUGAGACACGGCCCAGACUCCUACGGGAGGCAGCAGUGGGGAAUUUUGGACAAUGGGCGCAAGCCUGAUCCAGCAAUGCCGCGUGCAGGAUGAAGGCCUUCGGGUUGUAAACUGCUUUUGUACGGAACGAAAAGCCCUCUUCUAAUACAGGAGGGUCAUGACGGUACCGUAAGAAUAAGCACCGGCUAACUACGUG
This 482-nucleotide ribosomal RNA is filed under the name uncultured bacterium. RNAcentral describes it as "partial 16S ribosomal RNA". It matches the Rfam family "Bacterial small subunit ribosomal RNA", at positions 30 to 507 of the family's 1533-position model. The record is from RNAcentral.